Molecule: non-coding RNA, 1953 nt
Organism: Prunus mume (Japanese apricot)
Lineage: Eukaryota; Viridiplantae; Streptophyta; Magnoliopsida; Rosales; Rosaceae
Source: RefSeq, a predicted model, not a curated record
GUGAUAGAGAAAUAUACAGAGGAAAGGAAACACACAGAAAGACAGAGAUAGAGCAUUUCUGAAACCCUAGCUACCAGUACUCCACCCCCAAUUUCACCAUACAAGUUUGUCUAAAAAAUUUCCAUGCAUUUCAGCUCAUAUUUAAGGAAAAAUAUUUGAGAAAGCUCUCCGGAUAAGAAUGCUAAUACACAUUUUGUUGGGAUUCAAGAUCGUAUCAUUUUGGGAAGCACUGAUAAAUAGUCUGUCCUUACUUAACAAAGUUAAGCUUUUGAAUAGAGAAAAGGUUUUAUUUGCCUUGUGACUUCCUUGUUUUUGGAAUUGGAGGUGCAAGGUGGUUUCUGGUUCACAUCUUCUAAAGUUUAGUUGCAGUAUCACUGUCAAAUGUCAGAAGGUGUCAUGGCGGUAGUCAAACCUGAGAUGAAGUCUUACAUCUGGCUUCAGACCGCUGACGGCUCAAUCCAACAAGUAGAAGAAGAGGUUGCCAUGUUUUGUCCCAUGAUCUGCCGAGAAAUACUGCAGACAGGGAUGGGAUCUUCCAAAAACUAUGCUAUAUCACUUCCUCAACGAGUUAACCCUGCCAUUUUGGGCUUAAUACUUGACUACUGCCGGUUUCAUCAAGUACCAGGUCGCUCUAAUAAGGAACGCAAAACUUUUGACGAGAAAUUUAUUCGAAUGGAUACAAAAAAGUUAUGUGAGUUGACAUCUGCCGCUGACAGCCUCCAAUUGAAGCCUUUGGUUGAUCUCACUAGCCGAGCACUUGCUCGAAUUAUUGAAGGAAAAACACCUGAGGAGAUACGUGAGACAUUCCAUUUACCUGAUGAUCUCACAGAGGAGGAGAAGUUGGAACCUUUGAGAAACAUAACUGAUGAUCCACGUAUCCGGCUUCUUAAUCGGUUAUAUGCUAGAAAGAGGAAAGAAUUAAAAGAGAGAGAGAAACUGAAGGUGCUUACUUUUACUUGAAGACGUGUCGAUGAACGUUCAGUCGAUGACCUCUUGACUUUUAUAAAUGGUGGAAGUGGAGAGUCAAAGGGGGUUAAGACCAAUAAGAAUAAAAAGAAAAAUCGGAGAAGAAAAGAUCAUCCAAAAGACUCUUCAACCAGUGUAAAUGGAAGCCAUAAUAAGGACUUGGAUGCUCUUUCUUCUGAUUACCAUGAUGGUGACAUUAUCAAUGUUGAGUCGCCAUCUCCCAGUUCUUCGAAGUUGCAAGAUUCUACAUCAGUUACCUUUUCACCAAAGCUUGAGUUUGAUGAUUGUGAUAUUGAUGAUGAUUUAGAUCCUGCCAUGAAGGAGGAGCUUGACAGGGAAGUGGAGGAUUUUGCACGAAGAUUAAACUCAGAUUGGCCGGAAAGAAUGCAGGAAAUUUUAUCAUUGGGCCAAGAGAGGAGGCUUGCACCUAUAAAUAUAAAUGGCAAUGGCUCUGCGCAUAGAUAUACAAGUUUGGACAGGAGAUAAUGAGAGGAUUAUUUAAUCGGAAUGUCCAGCAACUCGAGUGAUUGGAAGAGAAGCUACCCAUGGGGGUUGCUGCUGCAGAAGCUUAAAAGAGGGAGCAGUGUUUUUGGUGUUGACGGCAUGUGAGUAUAUUUGUUUGUUUUUCCAUCACCAAAUGCAAUUUUCGUUCUGUGGCAUCUUCUAUGUUGAAGAAAGGAAAGAGACAGAUGUUUAAAAAAAAGAAAGGAACUCGGAGGCUACAACAGGAGCAAAGUUUCCUCCUUGUCUCGAGAGCUUAUUUUCUCUUUUUGGUUGUUUAAGAGGAACUAAUUUCCUCUGUUUUGCCUUGAGCCAUUGUUGCUGGCUGUCUUCUGUACUUUCUUGAAAUGAUGCUGAAUUUACAGAUGUACCUUUUUCAUUUUCAUUUCUUAUAGGCCCCAUUUGGCUUUGGAAAGUCUUACGACAAGUUGUAAGUUCUUAAGUUAAUGUAAUGAAAUUGAAAUGCAAAAUAAAGGUUAUUCAAAA